RNAcentral lists this ribosomal RNA (433 nucleotides) under uncultured bacterium. RNAcentral's name for it is "partial 16S ribosomal RNA". It matches the Rfam family "Bacterial small subunit ribosomal RNA", at positions 29 to 507 of the family's 1533-position model. The record is from RNAcentral.
AACGAACGCUGGCGGCAUGCCUUACACAUGCAAGUCGAACGAGACCUUCGGGUCUAGUGGCGCACGGGUGCGUAACGCGUGGGAACCUGCCCUUAGGUUCGGAAUAACUCCCCGAAAGGGGUGCUAAUACCGGAUAAUGUCUUCGGACCAAAGAUUUAUCGCCUUUGGUUGGGCCCGCGUUGGAUUAGCUAGUUGGUAGGGUAAAAGCCUACCAAGGCGACGAUCCAUAGCUGGUCUGAGAGGAUGAUCAGCCACACUGGGACUGGGACACGGCCCAGACUCCUACGGGAAGCAGCAGUGGGGAAUAUUGGACAAUGGGCGAAAGCCUGAUCCAGCAAUGCCGCGUGAGUGAUGAAGGCCUUAGGGUUGUAAAGCUCUUUUACCCGGGAUGAUAAUGACAGUACCGGGAGAAUAAGCUCCGGCUAACUCCGUG